CCAAUUUAACAUCAAACUCAGAUGUUGAGCGUGAAGGAUAACGUUGCGUCAGCAACGGCCCGUAGGGCGAGGCGAAGCCGAGUCAUCCUGCACGACCCACCA
RNAcentral lists this small RNA (102 nucleotides) under Salmonella enterica. RNAcentral's name for it is "partial RtT sRNA". It matches the Rfam family "RtT RNA", at positions 44 to 130 of the family's 130-position model. From Rfam's summary of the family: This family represents a bacterial cis-regulatory element known as RtT RNA. The exact function of RtT is unknown although it is thought that it may be involved in changing the cellular response in relation to amino acid starvation. RNAcentral also lists the same sequence under 2 other names. Lineage: Bacteria; Pseudomonadati; Pseudomonadota; Gammaproteobacteria; Enterobacterales; Enterobacteriaceae. The record is from RNAcentral.